RNAcentral lists this non-coding RNA (23 nucleotides) under Arabidopsis thaliana (thale cress). Lineage: Eukaryota; Viridiplantae; Streptophyta; Magnoliopsida; Brassicales; Brassicaceae. The record is from RNAcentral.
UAAGUUGACUGAUGAUGGGCAGA